RNAcentral lists this ribosomal RNA (234 nucleotides) under uncultured bacterium. RNAcentral's name for it is "partial 16S ribosomal RNA". It matches the Rfam family "Bacterial small subunit ribosomal RNA", at positions 118 to 347 of the family's 1533-position model. The record is from RNAcentral.
UGAGUAACCUGCCCUUGACUCUGGGAUAAGCCUGGGAAACCGGGUCUAAUACUGGAAUACGACCUUCUGGCGCAUGCCAUGUUGGUGGAAAGCUUUUUGUGGCUUUGGAUGGACUCGUGGCCUAUCAGCUUGUUGGUGGGGUAAUGGCCUACCAAGGCGACGACGGGUAGCCGGCCUGAGAGGGUGACCGGCCACACUGGGACUGAGACACGGCCCAGACUCCUACGGGAGCAG